Molecule: non-coding RNA, 99 nt
Filed under: Marinobacter salinus
Lineage: Bacteria; Pseudomonadati; Pseudomonadota; Gammaproteobacteria; Pseudomonadales; Marinobacteraceae
Description: TPP sequence
Rfam family: TPP riboswitch aptamer (THI element)
About the family: Vitamin B(1) in its active form thiamin pyrophosphate (TPP) is an essential coenzyme that is synthesised by coupling of pyrimidine and thiazole moieties in bacteria. The previously detected thiamin-regulatory element, thi box was extended, resulting in a new, highly conserved RNA secondary structure, the THI element, which is widely distributed in eubacteria and also occurs in some archaea. Analysis of operon structures identified a large number of new candidate thiamin-regulated genes, mostly transporters, in various prokaryotic organisms.
Source: RNAcentral
ACCAACUCAACGGGGUGCCCUAUCAACAGCGGGGCUGAGACCAUACCCGCGGAACCUGAUCCGGAUUAUGCUGGCGAAGGGAUUGAGCUCCCACCACUA